CCCUUAGAUGUCCGGGGCUGCACGCGCGCUACACUGAAGGAAUCAGCGUGCUAAAACCAUUGUCGAAAGGCAUUGGUAAACCCAUUAAAAUCCUACGUGAUUGGGAUCGGGAAUUGCAAUUAUUUCCCUUGAACGAGGAAUUCCCAGUAAGUGUGGGUCAUAAGCUCGCGUUGAUUACGUCCCUGCCCUUUGUACACACCGCCCGUCGCUGCCCGGGACUGAGCCGUUUCAAGAAAAGCGGGGACUGCUGCUGUCGGGGCUUUCGGGCCUUGGCUUCGGUGGAAACCGCUUUAAUCGCAGUGGCUUGAACCGGGCAAAAGUCGUAACA
This 328-nucleotide ribosomal RNA is filed under the name uncultured eukaryote. RNAcentral describes it as "partial 18S ribosomal RNA". It matches the Rfam family "Eukaryotic small subunit ribosomal RNA", at positions 1470 to 1796 of the family's 1831-position model. The record is from RNAcentral.